UCCCAGAGCCUCCUGCGUUUCCAUGGGACGCCCGGGCCGGAUAUGAUGUCUUCGUAGAGAAAGAAGGAAGAGGUGGAGCGGGGGGCGGUGACGUCCUUCCAAGAUGGCGGCGAGAGCGUGAAGAAACUGUUCCCCCUUGGUUUGCUCUAGAACAAGGGUAAAAUUCCAUUCUGAUACCAAAAUGCAGUAUUCGCAUCACUGUGAGCACCUUUUAGAGAGACUGAACAAACAGCGGGAAGCAGGUUUUCUUUGUGACUGCACUGUAGUGAUUGGGGAAUUCCAGUUUAAAGCUCAUAGGAAUGUGCUUGCCUCAUUUAGUGAGUAUUUUGGUGCAAUCUACAGAAGCACUUCUGAGAACAAUGUCUUCCUUGAUCAGAGUCAGGUGAAGGCUGAUGGAUUUCAGAAACUGUUGGAGUUCAUAUACACAGGAACUUUAAAUCUUGACAGUUGGAAUGUUAAAGAAAUUCACCAGGCUGCUGACUAUCUCAAGGUGGAAGAGGUGGUCACUAAAUGUAAAAUAAAGAUGGAAGAUUUUGCUUUUAUUGCUAAUCCCUCUUCUACAGAGAUAUCUAGUAUUACUGGAAACAUUGAAUUGAAUCAGCAGACUUGUCUCCUUACUCUACGAGAUUAUAACAGUCGGGAAAAAUCAGAAGUGUCUACAGAUUUAGUUCAGGCCAAUCCUAAACAAGGGGCUUUAGCAAAGAAGUCAUCUCAAACUAAAAAGAAGAAGAAGGCCUUCAACUCCCAGAAAACAGGACAGAAUAAAACAGUGCAAUAUCCCAGUGACAUUUUAGAGAACGCGUCUGUUGAAUUAUUCUUAGAUGCAAAUAAAGUAUCCACACCUGUAAUAGAUCAAGUUUCACAAAGAAAUGAUAAUUCAGAACUCGAGUUGACAUCAGUUGUGGAAAAUACUUUUCCAGCACAAGAUAUUGUGCAGACUGUUACGGUGAAACGGAAACGUGGAAAAUCACAACCCAACUGUGCUCUGAAGGAACACUCUAUGUCUAACAUAGCCAGUGUCAAGAAUUCUUACGAGCUGGAGAGCUCUGGGGAAGAGCUGGAUCAGAGGUAUUCCAAGGCCAAGCCUAUGUGUAACACAUGUGGGAAAGUGUUCUCAGAAGCCAGCAGCUUGAGAAGGCAUAUGAGAAUACAUAAAGGAGUUAAACCUUAUGUCUGCCACUUGUGUGGAAAGGCAUUUACCCAGUGUAACCAGCUGAAAACGCAUGUAAGAACUCAUACAGGUGAGAAGCCAUACAAAUGUGAAUUGUGUGAUAAAGGAUUUGCUCAGAAAUGCCAGCUGGUCUUCCAUAGUCGUAUGCAUCAUGGUGAGGAAAAACCUUAUAAAUGUGAUGUAUGCAAUUUACAGUUUGCAACUUCUAGCAAUCUCAAGAUUCAUGCAAGGAAGCAUAGUGGAGAGAAGCCAUAUGUCUGUGAUAGGUGUGGACAGAGAUUUGCUCAAGCCAGCACACUGACCUAUCAUGUUCGUAGGCAUACUGGAGAAAAGCCUUAUGUGUGUGAUACUUGUGGGAAGGCAUUUGCUGUCUCUAGUUCUCUUAUCACUCAUUCUCGAAAACAUACAGGUGAAAAACCAUACAUAUGUGGUAUUUGUGGGAAAAGUUUUAUUUCCUCAGGAGAGCUCAACAAACACUUUCGAUCCCAUACAGGAGAAAGGCCAUUUAUCUGCGAAUUAUGUGGAAAUUCUUACACAGAUAUUAAAAAUUUAAAGAAGCACAAAACAAAAGUCCAUUCCGGUGCAGAUAAAGUUCUGGAUUCUAGUAUAGAGGAUCAUCCCUUGAGUGAACAAGAUUCUAUACAAAAAAGUCCGUUAUCAGAAACAUUGGAUGUGAAACCUUCUGAUAUGACUUUACCACUAUCUCUUCCACUGGGAACUGAGGACCACCACAUCCUUCUGCCUGUCACAGAUAAUCAGUCUCCUACAUCAGAUACAUUGUUGAGAUCAACUGUGAAUGGGUAUUCAGAACCACAGUUGAUUUUUUUACAGCAGUUAUACUGACUUUGUGAGGAAUGUGGAAUUGCUAAGACGUCUCUGGUAGUAAACAUAAACAUCUCUGGAAUUUAUUGGAAUGUGAAGAAAUUAAAGAAAAUUAAAAGACUCAGCCUCUUUAAGAAGUCUGCUGAAAUGGAGAGGUUAUAUUUAUUUCAUAUCUUCAUUAAUCCAAGCAUCUAAUUAAUAAAAUUUCAAAAUCUACAGUGAUGUCAAAAUUUUAUGAGAGCAAUAGUUACCAAAUUUCCACUAAUAUGAUGGUAAUUAGCAUUUUGCAUAGAUUAGUCUUCAGACUUAUUAUUUUUAAUAUUAUUGGAUUGGAAUGGCUAAGGUUGAUUUACUGUGCUUUUUCUUCAUCACGUUAUCUGCUUCAUAGCUAAAAUAAUUCUAUUUUAAAUUGACAUGGCUUGGUGCUCUUCCAUAGUUACAUAUAAUAAGUCUCAAAGGCGGAGGUUCCUGUUUUUUCGUUCUUCUCAUAAUGCUAUACUCUUCUUUAUUAUAAUGUGGAUAUAUUUCAGUUGUAUCUGGUAUCGUCCUAACACUCAUAAUUACCAUUUUAAUUACACCCAUUUUUAAAUAUAUUUGUUACAAUGCAGUUUGCGGAAGUCUAUUCUUAAUUAAAUAUGACUACAUUUUUGAAAGUCUGUUUAGGAUGUUGAAAAUCUUACUGAGAAAUUAUUUUCUAAAAUAAUUUUGUAUGUAUUAGAUUAUUGCUACUGUAUUGUUAGACUGUAGACUUUUAAAAAAGAAACCAUAGAUUAUAUAUAAAUGAUUUUUUGCUGUUUUUAAAUGGUAUUUGUUUUAUGUUUAAUUUCAUAGGUUGAUUUUGAUAGACAACCUUUAGAAAAAAAUUUUUUAAAGAAAAGGUUCUAUCGUUCUCUUGUAAAAGUAGUUUAUUACUUCUGUAUGUUUCAGUUCUGCGGAAAUUGUACAAAUGAGAAUAGUUGAAAUGUACAUUUAUAAAGACAAUGUACAUGUUCUUGUUUUUUAAAAUUAUCCUAGAAUAACUGUUCUGACAUUUGAUGCAUAUCAGAAACAUUUUAAAAAUAACACUAGCCAAGCCCCACCCUUCCUUAGGCCUUUGGGAUGUACAAGCUAGAAAAUCUCCACGGGUGUUUUAAUGUAACCAGAUUUUGAGAACUGAUAGCCUAAAUGUUUCUUGGUUUUCUUUUGGGAAGCAUUUAAAAUUGAAGCUCUUGAUAGAAAUUUCCAUCUUAUACUCAGAUUUUUGAGGCUUUAGAAUUUACCUAGAAAUACAACCUAGUAGAUUCUACAUUUUUACUCAUUAUUUAUGAACAGUAUGGAGAUUUAGUUACUGGAGCAUUAAUUUCUUGAGACAGUGAUAUGGUUACUCUUUGAUUCUCUGCAACCCCUGCCCCAUUCAUUUAAGAGAGAUUUGGUAUAUUUGCUUAAGGAAUUUGGUGAUUAUCAGGUAGACAUAAUAACGAUCUAGAAAUAAGGUAUUUAAUUUCAAGAGGAAUAUACUAAAGUAAACAUCAUGGAUGUGAACAUCUAUUUGGAUUAAAAUGUCUGGCCAGUAUUUCAGAUACUGGAAAAUUGAGAUCAGGAUACAUAAACCUAACAAAGAUAAAUGCCACCUAACAAAGAUAAAUGCCACCCUUAAGUCAAAUGGGAAAGACAGGCCUGACUAUAAUGGCAGUAAAACAAGGCAGAACGUCAAGUGUUAAUGGGGGAAGACAAGGAAGGAACUACGGAGUAGUCAGUGAGAGUUGAAUGGACAGAAAAAGGGCCAUUGUUCCCCUGCAUAGACAAACCAGAAGAGAUGGAUGAUGGUGAUGGGAAGGAAUGUGUACACAGCUAACUGAAAUAGGCCAAAUGAAGAAAGUAUGAAACGGAGGAGCUAGGAGUCAAAGACAUAUCCAGCGCUAUGCCUGCACCAUCUUACAGGAAAUAGUCCUCUGUCCUUAACCUGUGCUGAAGGAGUAGGAUUGGAUAACUAGGUUUGUAACUCCUAUAAUCUCACACACCCAAGCACAGUUGACUGCUGAAGGGCAGGGAUUAGAGGAUUAGACAGCCAUAUUUAUAACAAAUGAUUCCAUAUCGAUGUCCAGAGCUUAAUUGAACACCUUACGAGGGAGAAACCGUUCUUAAGUCUGACUGAGCUAGUUAGAGUCUCAAUAAUUUGAGCUCUGAAAUUCAGAGACUGUUAUGUUUUGGCAUACGUGUAAGUGAAAAGAUCAUUUAGAACUGGGCCAGUGUGAAGCAAGUCGAAAUAUAAAGGAAAUGAUGAAUAAGCAGAGAAAGCUGAUCUAUAGAGUGAAGCAAUGGAAUGAAAUAGGUUCACAGAACCAAGCCACUGAUUGCCUGUGAGAGAUUGGUGUGGCCUUGGUGUCUGGCUUUGCAGUCCCAUUCUUGAGCUGGCUUAGCUUUAUGCUUCAUUUCCUUGUCCCUGGGUGCCAGUGAUUUUUUCCUGUUACAUCCAUACAGUAAACCCCCCUUUUCUUAGACAGUCUUGAGUCCGUUUCUUUUCCUUGUGGCUAGCCCUGACUUAGACACCUUAAGUUUUGAUCCUUAAUGAUUAAGAAGGUGGUGAUGCCAUUAACUAUGAUAGGGAAGAUAAGGAAGAAGUUUAUGGCAGAGAAGACUUUAUUUUAGAUGCACUGAAUUUGAUUGGUGGUACAAUAGCUUUGUGAAAAUGUCUAGCAGUACUUGGAAAUGGAGUCCCAAAUCCAGGAGUGGUUAAAGCUAGGGAUACGGAUCUUGUAGCAUAAGGCUAAUAAUUAUUGUAAUAGAAAUGAUUAAGGCAGCCCUGGGAUAUGGUAAAGAACAAAAGCUAAGAAAAUCUUUGGGGAAAUACAUUUAAAGAACGAGCAAAAAAUAGGAGUGCCUGGGUGCCUCAGUUAAGCAUCUCACUUUUGAUGUCAGUUCAGGCCUUGAUCUCAGGGUUGUAAAUUUAAGACCCGCUUUGGCUCCACACUGGGUGUGGAUCCUACUUUUAAAAAAUGAGCAAAAGAUAAAAAAGGAGAUUAAAAGGUGGAAGAACACCAGGGUAGUGCAAGUUUUAAGAAGACAAGUGAUUUUGUACUGGUCAUACAGUACAGAGAAAUUAAAUAGGGUGCAAAUCAAAGACAACUUUGGGUUGGGUAAUGGGGGCAUGAUGAUCCUUGGAGAAGGCAGUUGUAGUAAUAGCAGGAGUAGAAGUUAGGUGGAUAUGGUUUGAGUAGUUAAGACAUUGAAUACUACUAUUUAGCUGAAAAGCAGUGUGGUGCAGGAUCAUUUUUUGUCAAAUACGUAAAAAAUACAAAGCACAUUAUUACUUGUUUUCACAUCUCAAACACUACAAUGAUCAGCAUAAUAUGAUUUGCAACACUGUAAUCAGAGGCUGUAUUUUCGAGCCUGAUCUUGAAAGUGGAAGGAAACUUUAUAUGGUUGCAGAUUUACUCACUGCAGUUCAGGUGUGCAGAGGAAGUGGAGUUUCUGACAACUUGAAUUUCUUUCCUCUUGAGCUCACACCCCAUGGGAAGUCAGGAAAAAAUCAACUUUUUGUCUGAGCCAGUUUAAAACUUAGUCUGAUAAAAAGGAGAUACAAUUUAUAAGAUUUUGAGGUAAUGCUUAAACUUUUGGGAAAAUGCUCUUAUUUCUAUCCUUUGUCUCCUCUUUAAACUGGUGUCCAGGUAUAUGAAGGGGACUUACGUGAUACAAUGUUAUCAGGGAGACAGCGUCUUCAGUUCUUCAUUCUCUGGGCAUCCUACUGGCCUCUGAUGCAGUAGGCCACAGCUUGUGAAAUAUGCGAUCAGGUUUUUCCUAGCUUGGUCAGAACCCAGUAGUUCUUGACUGAGUUGGCCUCACCUUAGUUCCAAGAAAUGUGGAGAACUCUCACACUUCUGCAGCUCUGUCUCAAGCAGGCCGGUAUAGAUCAGGAUGCAGGUUUCACCUGUGCUACCUUCCUGCAGGCUCAAAGUAAGCCUUUUUUCUUCCCAUUCAUGAGCUUUCUUCCCACUCAGCUACCUUCUGAGUUUCCCCUUGAGAGAAUAUAGAAACUCUUGGGUCUUCUCCAUACCACAGAAGAACAAAGAUUAGCCUAGACAAACAAAUCUCAUUACCAAGAUUUACUUUCAUGUGACUGUGCCCUGCUUAGCCUGCUGAGAGGCCAUCUCAUUCCAGAAUCCUAUAAACUCCUCUACUACCCAGCAUAUUACAGAUAUUUCAACGCAAUAAAAGAUGGACUGUUGCUACAUUAAACAUGAAUGAAUCACGUUAAUGUUGUUCAAAAGAAGUCAGACACAGUAUACUGUUAAGAUUCAGUUUAUAUAAAAUUUAAAAGCAGGCAAAACUACUUGUGAUGUUAGAAGGCAAGAGAGUGGUGCGUGUUGGAAGAAGUUUGGAAGAGCUUCUGGAAGCAUGUGGCAUUUACUGUCUUUAAGUCAUGGCUGACAUGGGUGGGUUAGCUUUGUGGUAACUCGUUUACCUGUUCAGUUAAGAUUUGUGUACUUUUCAAGGGGUGCCUGGGUGGGUCAUUAGGUUAAACAUCCAACUCUUGAUCUCAACUUAGGCCCUGAGCACAGACCCUGAUCUCUGAGUGGUGAGUUCAAGCCCCAUAUUGGGCUCCACGCU
Lutra lutra (Eurasian river otter) is the source of this 6580-nucleotide RNA transcript. It is a transcript of the gene named myoneurin, with no coding region annotated. The transcript has 9 exons. NCBI's taxonomy places the organism in Eukaryota, Metazoa, Chordata, Mammalia, Carnivora, Mustelidae. The record is from RefSeq and is a predicted model, not a curated record.